Molecule: ribosomal RNA, 253 nt
Filed under: uncultured bacterium
Lineage: Bacteria
Description: partial 16S ribosomal RNA
Rfam family: Bacterial small subunit ribosomal RNA
Source: RNAcentral
UACGGAGGGGGCUAGCGUUGUUCGGAAUUACUGGGCGUAAAGGGCGCGUAGGCGGCCUUCUAAGUCAGACGUGAAAUCCCUCGGCUCAACCGAGGAACUGCGUCUGAUACUGGAAGGCUUGAAUCCGGGAGAGGGAUGUGGAAUUCCAGGUGUAGCGGUGAAAUGCGUAGAUAUCUGGAGGAACACCGGUGGCGAAGGCGGCAUCCUGGACCGGUAUUGACGCUGAGGCGCGAAAGCUAGGGGAGCAAACGGG